This 439-nucleotide ribosomal RNA is filed under the name uncultured bacterium. Its description in RNAcentral is "partial 16S ribosomal RNA". It matches the Rfam family "Bacterial small subunit ribosomal RNA", at positions 339 to 795 of the family's 1533-position model. The record is from RNAcentral.
CUACGGGUUGCUGCAGUGAGGAAUAUUGCACAAUGGGGGGAACCCUGAUGCAGCAACGCCGCGUGGAGGAUGACGCAUUUCGGUGUGUAAACUCCUUUUAUAUGUCAAGAAAAUGACGGUAGCAUAUGAAUAAGCACCGGCUAACUCCGUGCCAGCAGCCGCGGUAAUACGGAGGGUGCAAGCGUUACUCGGAAUCACUGGGAGUAAAGUACGCGUAGGCGGGUUGGAAAGUCAGGUGUGAAAUCCUACAGCUUAACUGUAGAACUGCACUUGAAACUUCUAAUCUAGAGUAUGGGAGGGGUAGAUGGAAUUAGUGGUGUAGGGGUAAUAUCCGUAGAUAUCACUAGGAAUACCUAAAGCGAAGGCGAUCUCCUGGAACAUUACUGACGCUAAGGCGUGAAAGCGUGGGGAGCAAACAGGAUUAGAUACCCGCGUAGUC